Molecule: unclassified non-coding RNA, 143 nt
Filed under: soil metagenome
Description: partial internal transcribed spacer 1
Source: RNAcentral
CCGAGUUGCAACUCCCAACCCUGUGAACAUACCUACUGUUGCUCGGCGGGAGGCAGCGCCUCGGCACACGGGGAGCAGCCCGCCGAGGCGUCCUAAACUAUAGUCAUACAUUGGCCUCUCUGAGUAGCUUAUAAAAUAAGUCA